RNA transcript from Asparagus officinalis (garden asparagus), 1416 nucleotides. It is a transcript of the gene named jasmonic acid-amido synthetase JAR1-like, with no coding region annotated. The transcript has 3 exons. NCBI's taxonomy places the organism in Eukaryota, Viridiplantae, Streptophyta, Magnoliopsida, Asparagales, Asparagaceae. The record is from RefSeq and is a predicted model, not a curated record.
CCAUGACCUGCAACCUCACAAAUUUUUUUAAGAGAUAAGAGGUUAAAACUAAAAUUGAUAGACUUUGUCCUACAUUCUUUCACUUUAUACACCAACUUAUCAACUAAAUUAUUCAUUAAUUUAGAGUCGAGAAGAGUUGAGAAGUCUAAUCGUGAAUUUGUUUGAGAGAAGGUCAAUUAUAGGAUUCAUUAGUUAGAAUUUAUUUUUAAAUAAUAAUUAAUUGGAAGAUUAAGGGGUUAAGUAUGUAAACCUCUCACAAACCUUAGUUUCAAUCUUCAAGUAGCCUUACUUCUCAAAGUAUUCAUCUCUGGUUCAGACUAUAAAAAUUUUCGCAAGAAUGAUCAUGUAAUUUAAUUCACGUGAUGAAGUAAAAGAAGAUGAAAUUAUUCAGAUACAACACACAUAAAAAUGUGUAAUCUCUCCUCACUUACAAAUCCUAAAAAUUUCCCUAAAGCACCCAAAAAUCACAUGAGAUUAAAUUAAGCGACAAAAUAAAGUCGACUAAUAUUUAUCAUGAUGGAUCAAGAGAAGGCAGAAUUAUAUAAACAUGAUAUGUACUAUAUCAAAAUUCCUCAUUAUUUACGGUUCUUAAAAGAAUUAGAAGCAAGUGAAAUAACAAUUUUCUCCAAAGAUUAUAUACUAUUUGCUCCUUUUCAUCAUAUGCCUAGAAUACUUAUAGCUACAAAUGAAGACUAUCAGAAUUCAUUACUAAUUUUUGAAUCAUAAAAAAGUAACUCUUGGAUACCAUUCCAAAAUAACUGAAUAUCACAUAAUGACUAAUAACAAAAUGUAACUUCUAUUGCAUUUAAUAUGUGUUAUUAGACAUUAAAGCCGUGCAAAUAUUCAAGCAUGUAGUGGGCUUUGCAUGCUAAUCCAGGUGCUGCCUAGUGCUUAUACCAUAAAUUGGAGGCUCCAUUUUGAUCUAAGAGAGAAAGCCGAGGCCAUCUCUGAGUUCACAACGCUUGAAAUUACACUAAGGCUCAGUUGUUGUAGUAUCAGCUGAAUGGUUACUUGCAACCCCAAAAUGAAUUCAAAAUCUGUGGAGCUAGAGAUAGAAGAAUUUGAGAAAAUGACUAACAAUGCUACCAUUGUUCAAAAAGAAACACUCCAAAAGAUUCUUGAACAAAAUGGCCAAGUAGAAUACUUACAGGCUUCAGGCCUCAGAGGGAGAACUGAUCCUGAAAGCUUGAAAGCUUGUAUUCCUCUUGUCACUCAUGAGGACCUGGAACCUUAUUUACAGAGAAUCGUGGAUGGUGAUGAUUCACCAAUUCUAACAGGGAGGCUAGUUAAAGCAUUGUCGUUGAGUUCUGGUACGACACACCGAAAAUCGAAGCUUAUUCCCUUCAACGAGGAAAUGUUGCGAUCCAUGAUGCAGAUUUAUCGCACGUCAUUUGCUUUUAUAAAUAGGUAAGUUUA